This 465-nucleotide ribosomal RNA is filed under the name uncultured bacterium. RNAcentral describes it as "partial 16S ribosomal RNA". It matches the Rfam family "Bacterial small subunit ribosomal RNA", at positions 28 to 507 of the family's 1533-position model. The record is from RNAcentral.
GACGAACGCUGGCGGCGUGCUUAACACAUGCAAGUCGAACGGAAAGGCCCUGCUUGCAGGGUACUCGAGUGGCGAACGGGUGAGUAACACGUGGGUGAUCUGCCCUGCACUUCGGGAUAAGCCUGGGAAACUGGGUCUAAUACCGGAUAGUAGCCAUUUUUAGUGUGAUGGUUGGAAAGUUUUUUCGGUGUAGGAUGAGCUCGCGGCCUAUCAGCUUGUUGGUGGGGUAAUGGCCUACCAAGGCGGCGACGGGUAGCCGGCCUGAGAGGGUGGACGGCCACAUUGGGACUGAGAUACGGCCCAGACUCCUACGGGAGGCAGCAGUGGGGAAUAUUGCACAAUGGGCGCAAGCCUGAUGCAGCGACGCCGCGUGGGGGAUGACGGCCUUCGGGUUGUAAACUCCUUUCGCUAGGAACGAAGCUUUUUGUGACGGUACCUAGAUAAGAAGCACCGGCUAACUACGUG